Long non-coding RNA from Mus musculus (house mouse), 1080 nucleotides. RefSeq annotates it as RIKEN cDNA 4930452G13 gene. The record is from RefSeq and is marked validated. NCBI's taxonomy places the organism in Eukaryota, Metazoa, Chordata, Mammalia, Rodentia, Muridae. The transcript is spliced from 4 exons.
ACACACCACACGGGCCUUCCAGGGAUCUCCAGUAUUUUGGAGAAGCUGCAUAGAGCUCCUAGAUAGAGGUGUACCACAUCUGCUCUGGUCCUGCUGGGAGGCAGCAGCUCACUAGCUGACUAGAUCUGCCUGUCCAGACUGAGCUGGUUCUGUCAGCUUCACCUACGGAGUGGGGAGGCUGAGCCGACUCUGCUCUUCUCAGACUACUAGCGAAGCAGAUGAGCUCUCCUUUUCUCCUGGAGGUAAAGCUGCCAGACUUCUCCUGGAGCAGCACAGACAGCAGUUACGGUGAAGGUUCCAGAAUUCAAGGGCCUUCGUUUGAAAUGGAGCUUCGCCGCCAUUGAGUUCAUUUCCUGGGAACCUUACUGUGUCCCAUGACAGAAGCCCACAUGGUGAUGCCUUACAAAUUAAGAACUCACCUUUCUUCAGUUCUGCAUGAAGAGGAGAUGGUCCAGAGGAUGUGGCAAUGAUACAGAUACAACCAGAGAAGAAGUUGGUGUUCUUUUCUAAACCAUGGUAAAAAUAACAGGACAUCAUGUAGGAUGAGCGAGUACCAGAAGUUUAGAGGGUGAUGUCCAAGAAAUAAAAGAAUGCUCCAGGAGUCUGAGAUGAAUUCUCCACAGAUCCUUACCCGUCUGGAAGAUUAUGUAUGCCUGGGGGAGUCUCAAAAGAACCGAGGAAACGUAAACAUGAAGGAGGAUUGAGAAAAGGCUGCAAUGUUCUCUGUCCCUCAUACAGACCUAGAGGAAAAUUAUGGCAACCUGGCUGGUCCUGGGCCAGUGCUGUUCCCUUGGCUCUAUACAUCUAAGGCAUCGAAGACUCCCAAGGAUACGGAGUGACUCUGGGUAUCAGCUUAGCACAUGUUAUUUUAGGUGUUUCAACAGUGACACCAUUGAGGUAGUGUGGCUUAGUGAAGGAAUGUGGGCUUGGACGGGAUAGAAUGGGGUUGUCAUUCCACAGUUAUAAGUUAAUAUUCUUAUUAACUUGGGCAAUCAUGUGACUACUCAGUAUCCUAUUUAAAUCUUAUAAAUGCCCACUGAAGUAGGCAUGGACUACUUCUGUGUUGUGGAUACUUUUUAA